GCGGGAUGAUUGGCGUCCGAGCGCUGGGCUGUUCCGUGGACCCGCGCGGCCACGCCAGUGUGCUGUGCACGGGAAAUGUGGACGUGGGAGCACGGAGGCACCCAGUACUGUGGCGUGGUGCUCGUCUGGUCGUCAGCGAGCCUCAGCGUACUUAGGACACCGCAGUUUAUCUUUCCUUAGCGCUCCUAACGGUUAUGGAAAAUAGCGCUUGAAAACCUGGUAAGGACUAGGCAUUGUUGCUCAACUCUUGACAUUUACACCUUUGCCGGUAACUCUCCCUGUUUCACAGAUGGGGAAACGGAGGCUCACACUUAUUCAGUCUCUCUUGAGAUCCACCUGAUUCGUGAGAGGUAGAGCCAGGAUUUCAUUCUUGCCCGUCGAUGGCAUAUGUUAGUGCCUAUGUUGGGGGAGGCAGACUGCCCCAGCCCUCCCCAACACACGCAAUGGUUAUGAGAAGAAAUAAAGCGAAGGGUGUUCCUGAGAUUGACCCCAUGACCUACACUUAGUACAAGGCUAAGCUCUCUUAGCUCUCUGGCUUAGCAAUAAACUGCUUUGAAGACACAGAACUUUGCACUUGAGAGCCGGAAGAGACCUUGGGAAUCCCGGGUUCCAUCCUUUCUUCCACCUUGUAUACAGGUGAAUGCACUGUGGCCCAGAGAUAGGAAGUGACCAGCAAUCCAGCCACUUUAAAAGAUUUUUAAAAACAAGAGCCCUAGAAACGUCUACUCCAUUCCAUUUAUCAAGUAAAACAAGCAUAGACAGAACUGGCAGUUCUACAUCUUAACACAGAAUCCUUCUUGGUCCAGCACCCGCCUGGGUCACCUCCUCUUCCUGGAUUCAGCUACUGUUAACGGAAGAAACCAUGAAGCCUCAGAAGGUUAGAGCCAAAGGGACUCUACUGUGUAGCCCCAAUCACCUUCUUUUACAGUUAAGAGCCUGGAACCCAGAGAGGUUGAGUGACUUGGCCAAGACCCCCUGGAGGCAGAGGAGAGCAGAACCAAUGUUUCAGACUCCCACAUGACUUGCGCAUCAGUGUCUUUUUUUUGACAAUCUGUUGCUAUAAGAAAUUACUCGUUUGGAUAAUUUUCACACUAGAAAACCCUGUGACCCAAGGCUAGCAUUGAGAAGCUAAAGCUGGCCACUGACAUACUGUGAUUUUAAGGACAGUCUCCUUCGAAAUUAUCUGCCUUUCAAAAUCUUUGCCAUUGGAGACACUGGUUGGGGUUAUGUUAGUCUUCCUUAAGGAGGGCUCUACUAAAAUGCCAGACUAGGCCGGGCAUGGUGGCUCAUGCCUGUAAUCCCAGCACUUUGGGAGUCCAAGGCAGGUGGAUUGCCUGAAAUUAGGAGUUCAAGACCAGCCUGACCAACAUGGUGAAACCCCAUCUCUAUUAAAAAUACAAACACUAGCUGGACAUAGUGGCUUUUUUGUGCCUGUAAUCCCAGCUACUCAGGAGGCUGAGACAGGAGAAUUGCUUGAACCCGGGAGGUGGAGGUUGCAGUGAGCCGAGAUCACGCCAAUGGACUCCAGCCUGAGCAACAGAGUGAGACUCCAUCUCAGAGAGAGAGAGAAGAAAAGCCAGACUAGUCAACAUUCAGACAUACAAGACGGAGAUCACCAUGCGAACCCAGCCUGGCCCUUAGAUGUGUGUGCUCGAGCCAGGAUCAUCCAGAGUCUGAUAGCGCCUGCACCCCAACACGGUUGGAUUCCAGGACGCCAGUGCCAAACCCAGAGAAAGGACAACCAGCUUCCAUGCAUUUGCAUUUAAUUUUUAAAAACAAUACAUAUUUCAGUGUUAACUUCCUCCCCUCACCUGGCUUGAAAUAUUUUCCCCAUUUUCUAGGGAAACAAAAUCUACCAAAAGGUGCCGCCUGCAAGACCCCGGGCCCAGCCACUUCUGGAGGGUGGUGCUGUGUGGACUCCUCUGGGGCCAGGACAGGGCCCCUUCCUGGGCUCCUCUUCAGAUGCAGCUUUGCCACUGUUUGUAUCUGUUGCUUAGAAAAUCGUCUUUAAUGUUUCAAGUGAGGAAAGGGUUUCCAGUCACCUCCUAGAUUUCACACCGGGACACACACCUGGGUCAGGUGAGCAUGACAGAGCCCCCAGGAUGGGCACCUGACUCUGCAGACCAGAGGCCAGUGCCGGUGGGGGCCAUGGCAGUGCCCUGGGCACACACACUCUGCACACUGUGGGCUCAGUGGUUCCUUCUGUGCACCUGCUAGGAAAGCUCCUGAAGGUCCCUGCCCGACUUGUCAAGAAAUCAGAAGCCGUUUUAGAGCCACAUUUUAUUGUACUUGUUGCUUCACCGCUGGACAGCAGCAUGACAUGCUUUGUGCAUGAUGUAUACAUAUACAUACAUGUACACACAAGGACACACCACAGCCUGCACUCACAGCAUGUGACAACACGAACCGUUGCUGGUAAGGACAGUAAAAAUGUAGCUUUUGCCAAUUCCACAGGACAAUGACUCACAACCAAAAUAACAGGCACAGAUCAGUCCUGCGCCACACUAUUUGGGUUCCCAGCUCCAAAUACUGGGAGUGAGAUCAGUGACUUCGUGUCCCCUCAUGAGAUGUCCCCACAGUAGGAUGCACUGAGCCAGAGCUAAGGGAGGGCGGACAAGCCCCACGUUGAACUCUGCCUGCAGCACCUGGACCCUCCCGGGGCAGCCUGCAUGCUGAUGCCCCUGCAGCACAAGGCUCGCCCGGAACAGAACGCCCUGGGCUCGGCAGGACAACGGGUGCCACCACUGGCAACACGUAGCACCUGAGAGCAGCCUCGACUGCGUGAGGCUCCAGGGCCUUCCCUGGAUGGCAGCAGCUGACGUGGAGAUGAAGCUUCCUGCUGGGCACAUGCACAUGCCAGUUUCUUUUCCUAAUAGGUCCCCACUGGGUGCUGGCUGCAUCAACUGAACAUCAGAGAACUAGGAAAGUUCACAAACACUGAGCAGUAGUAUCUAAAGCAGUUUAAAAAUAAAGCCAAAAGGAAGACCAAAAAAUCCCUCAUCACUGAGCGGAGACAAAUCUACAUACCAGCAGCUGCCUUGAAAGGGCCGGCGGGGCCGCUCCCAUGCCUCCUGCAGGUCAGAAGCAAUCAGUGCUGCCUGGACCCCCUUGUGAACCGAACAUGCCUCAAAAACACGACGACCCCAGCAGGCCCCUGGCAGCACCCAGCAGCAGCGUCCAAUGGGACGUUCUGUGCCCAUGGCCACAGUGGCUCACAAGCAUCAUCCGCAGCCCAAGAGUGAGGAGUCAGGGUCCUGUCACUGCCACCAGCAGGCAGGGGUGCUGGGGGCAUUCUGAUCUGUUAGCAUGUGGACAAGGAGGCGCGUAAGCUGCCCCCGGGGACUCACCACCUCUUUUAAUUAAUAGGGAAACAGUCCACUCAAGAAAAAGAGAAAACCUGGGAAGUUCUUUUUCCUGAAUUAAGACAAGGCCUUAAAACCUAAAGGGCAGAACACCGGAAACAGUUUUGCUUCCAGGUCAGGCAGUGGGAGGAACUCCAGGCCCCGAGUGUCUGGGCUUCCUAGGUGUCUUAUAAUCACAAUCACCACUGUGAGAAUUUUCAUGGCCAUGAUUUAUUUAGGUUUUACAAAUUCUGUAGGAACUGGGUUCCACAAACCUCCAGACCUGCUCCUCUUUCCCACCCUACCCCACCCUUUGCGGGGAGCUGCAUGGUUCUAAAAAAUGGUCCAUUGGACUCUGUAACUGAAAAGCCACCUGGCAAGGGGCCCACUUUGAUGGGUACCAAAGGGCCUUGGAGUGUUCUAGCCACAGAGCUGUGUGCAGGCACAACAGAGGGCCUGGUGGGGCUGAGCCAGGCCCCCUGACAGGUGGCUUUCUACUUUAGGUCCAAGCUUAGAACCUGGCUCUUGGCCAGUCUGGGGAAAAAUAACUCACUUCCUAAGCUACAUCUGCAAAAAUUGCAAAGGCUGAGUACAGCCAGCAUUUGAGGCUGAACUUGCUGCUGUGUUGAACGGCACGGAGGCACCCCAACGUCUCGCUGCCUCGCAUUUCAGGAUGGGCCAAACAAUGAAUUUCUUAUUCUUUUAGGAGAGGUCUGAUUUUGACAAAUUAUUUCUAAUUUAAUAUCACAGUGCAUAGCUCUCCUCUCAUCAAAGGUCUUCAUGAUCAUUUUAGGGAGAAAAACCAAAGAAAAGUGAGACAAACAAAACUGCCCCAGGACUUGGUGCUGGCAGCCAGCUCAUCACCCACAUGGGGAUCCGCAAUAGGGGUCAGCUGGGGGCCCUCAACCAGCACCCCGCUCCUAAGCACGUCCAGAUUUGUCCUCACCCAUGUCCCUUCUGGCAACUUCCUGGUCAACCUCAACCCACCCCUCUGCACAGCCUUGGGUGGGCCGCUGAGGGCCAUGAGUGAGCUGGGGCCAUGAGUCAGCAGGCAGGCCGGGAAAAAGGGCCUCAGGAGACUCAUCUGGUUGGUCCCAGCCAGAGCCACCACACACAGCCUCUUCCUCAGCUUCAUCUCUGCUGAGAACUCUGCAGCGGCCACCAUGGAUGUUCUGCAGAAGCCAGGCCCACUGAGUCUGCAGCAUGGGGCCAAAGGCAGGCCCAGCAUAUCCCGUGAGCCACAGAGUGGGGGCAGCUCUGAGCCCUCGGCCAGCACAGGGACAUCAGACCCGUUUCCCCCACUCCUCUACCCAGGGCGCCACCAACAAGGUCUAGGACAGACAAAAGACUGACUUCCAAUGGUCCACACGUGGAUUCCGUGGUCUGGCUGCUGGCCUCCCAGGGACCCAACCCUUCUGAGCCAGAGGGGUCACUCUGGUCCAGUCAGUCCUUCCUCCAGGGACAUAACGAAUCUGGCUCUGCCUGAAUCAUCGAUGACAGGGCAAAGGCAACUGGAGCAGAUGGGAGCUCUGGCAAACACGGGAGGAGGGUCUUGGAAGAGCCCCCGUCCCCAGCGGCUAGAUGCUUACACAUGGACGAUCUACUCUCCUGACUGUGGCUCAUCAGGCUGGUGCUACCAUCUGUGGUUGUAAAGGUCCAAAGAGGGCUACGGAAAGGACAGGUGGGCUGGAAGGAAUGUGGAGAAUGACCCCAGGACAGGGGAGGAGGAGACUGGCCCCAUCAAUCCAGUUCACAGCCGGGAAAAGUGCAGGAAGACAGACAAACGACCCCAAUGUGGGCGAAGGACACACCUCCAAGGACUGGAGCCGCAGAGUCCACGUGACAAGGAGACCCAGGAUAGAAACACUGUGCGGAGGACACGGUGUCAACCUCGGAAGGGGCCUCCUAUGCUUUCCACACCAAAUUCCCCCACGGGAGAAACCCUGCCACAAGGCCCAGGAAACCACAGACCCCAAGCCAACUGUGCCUAGCACAGACACCAAGGAAUGACAGCGAUGCCAGUGACGCCAGGAGGACUUGGCCCCUAGCCCCAUCAUCGGCUGUAUGAUGAUCGGUGUGUCUGCGGCCUCCCUCUCGUCAGACUGCAGCCUUGGGGGACACGUAGAACUCUGUCUCCUCGCCCUCAGGGGCCUUGAGCUUACACUUCCCGCAGCACAGCAGCGGUUGAAGCAGCACCACAGACAGCAGCAGCAGUAGCAGCAGGUGAGGAGGCUGCAGAAGACAAACAGGGCCUUGGCCCCCCCGGCUGGACAGCACGAGGACCGCCGAGCUUUGCUGAGGCAUCAUGGUGGGACUUAAAGAAGUAUCUUGGCCGGGCGCAGUGGCUCACACCUAUAAUCCCAGAACUUUGGGAGGAUGAGGCAGGAGGAUCAAUUGAGUCACGGAGUUCAAGACCAGCCUGGGCAACAGAGUGAGACUCUGUCUCUACAACAAAUUUUAAAAAAAUUAGUCAGGAAAAACAAAGAUCCCCAAAGUCCAUUUCGCUCCGAGGUCAGUGGACACAGCUCUGUGACUGUCCUGUGCUGUGUGGGUCUGUAGAAGGGCCAGUCAUGGGCCAUCGAGCUACUCACAGCCAACUGCACCCAAGUCCAAGCCUGGCUCUGUUCCCAUACACAGAGACAGGAUGGGGGCUGCUGAUCUGGCCUGAAGCCUUGCUCUGGGCACUGAAAACGGGGGCUAUUUCCUUACCUGAAGAUCUGGAAGCAGCAUGUUGACAAAAGCACCAACUGCUCUGCCAUCACGUCCCACUGGGUGUCAGUGGGAAGGCCUAACCAAGGCCUGCCUCCAGUGGCUAUCAGGCAGACGGGCCAGCAGUUCCCCUCCAGGAGCAAGGGACCCUUCUUACCCUUUUGAUCACAUUUCCCUCUCUUAAAGGGGCACUGCUGUGGGAAGGGGUCAUGCCUUGGAUCCUACAGUCAUGGACUGUGGGUGAAACAGGGGCUCUUGACUCUUCACUUCCUAGCCAUAACUCUGCCCAUUGGACCACCCACCCUCCCUGCUGCUGGUCUCCUGGCUCACCCAUCAAAUCCAACUGCUUUAUCUAGAAAAUACUUUUCUCCAUUCUCAUUUCCCUUUGCUUUCCCACUCACCUCUGUUUUUGUUUCUGUUUUAUUUUGUUCCAGACACCCUUUUCAGGGAAGUAGAUCAGGGAGGCCCAAGAGAUUAGGCCUGGGUGGGCUGCUAUCGCUUAAGAACACGUCUGCCUCUGGGGCUCCUCCCUAACAGCUGGCCUCUGGAGCUGGGAGAUGCAGCUGCCUGGCAGUCUGCAGAGGCAGAUUGUGUUGUUACGUGCUGGUCACCGCCUUGAGCCUUAAACCACAGUCAGCAAUGAACCUGGAGGCAGGGCAUCUCUGGGGAUGAUCGACCGCAUCUGCUCAGGUUCUUGCAGGGCAGGGCAGGCAGAGAUGUGUGUUUGGAGCCAGAAAGCCUUCCUGCCAACCUGCCAUGCCUCAGUUUCCCUAUCUGAACCACCUUCAUAAAAACAACUUACGGCUCUCAGAGCAGCACAUUUGUAAAAACCUGAAAAAUAUAAAGAAAAACGUCACUCACAUUUCUCCCAUGAACAUUUUCCUAUUUUAUGUAUCUUUUAUGUAACUGAAUCACAUUGCAUAUACAAUUAUGUGUUCCAUUUUUAAACAAUAAGCUUCCCUUGUUUUAAAAGUAAUAAUCCAUGUUUAUUAUGUGUUAUUGCAUAGAAAUUUCAGACACAAAAAAAGAAAGGAAAAAUGACUCCUUAUUGCUCCAUUGAGAAAUAAUAAAUAUGAAUAUUAUUCUGAUAAA
RNAcentral lists this long non-coding RNA (7142 nucleotides) under Homo sapiens (human). Its description in RNAcentral is "ENTPD4 divergent transcript, transcript variant 1 (ENTPD4-DT)". The record is from RNAcentral. Lineage: Eukaryota; Metazoa; Chordata; Mammalia; Primates; Hominidae.